This is a non-coding RNA of Aegilops tauschii subsp. strangulata, 5583 nucleotides long. The record is from RefSeq and is a predicted model, not a curated record. Lineage: Eukaryota; Viridiplantae; Streptophyta; Magnoliopsida; Poales; Poaceae.
CUCCUUCCUUCAGGAGAAGCCUUUUCUCGCCCCGGCCGCAAGGCGCGUGGUGUCUUCCGCCGGCCGAUUCUCCCGCGAAGUUCAGGUUUUUCAAGAUACGUGGGCUUGGGACGGGUCGGGAACAGCAAGAAAUUCAGACUCAGUUGCGUGGCUCCGAAUGGACCUAAUACUUCCAGUUAAAGUUGGAGAUGCUAUAGAGACAAGAUCCUUUGAUCGUGGUUAUAGGGGCGCAUGGUUCCGUGGCAAGCUCACCGACAUGCGUAUCAGGGACGGUCACCUGGAGUGUCAAGUGGAGUAUAUAGACUAUCCAGAUGAAAGUAAGUAAUUGUUUUAUGCCGAUAAAUCAAGAAGCCAAUAAAAUUAGUUUCUUCUGUUGAAAUUUGUUAUUUCCUACUCUAGGUUUGUUCGAGUGUUUGUCUAUUUGGAUAAUUGUUUUAAUUCUUCCGCCUAAUUUUUUGAAGAGAAGAAAAAUGCUGAUUAUUGGAGUCAAGGCUAUCUUGAGCUGACGGUGAACUUUACAAAAACUUUGUAGCUUAGCUCCCUUCCUACAACCUACAUUUCUUGUAGCUUACUGAAGCAACACAAGGGAGUAGCUCCACACUUUUGCUAUAAAGUGUACAUCACAAGUGUUGAAGGCAUUAGGAGUUCAAUCCACACCUGUAGGCCUCCGGAUGGAGGCUGCUCGAUUAGCCACAUUGGCUGAGCGAGAGCGCUUGGCCCGAGUGGUGCAGAACUUGAUGGCGCGUCCUCGGAACACUCCUGGCACCAGUCUGUCUUGAAGGUGCCUGUUCCCAAUUGCUGAUGCGGGAGCCUACCCCGCCCAGCACACCGCAAUGCAAGGGGCAACCACUCAGAUAGCAGAUUUAAUUUAGCCGUUAGGUUCAACGGUGGAUGAUAUUCGUCAUGUUAUUGCUUCACCCAUAGUGGCUUUGUGACAAAAUGUGACAAAACCAGGCGGACACGCAAUCGCAUAAUUGUUGCUUUCCAAGUCGGCUCGAGCUGAUACCACAACAUUGAGCCACAAUCCUCAUGUGGGCCGCAGAUCCAAUGCUUUGCCACCUUGUCAGGGCGUAUCUCCUCCUCGAUCUAGUGAUGUGUCGCAUCAUGGGGAUCUGACUCCACCACGCCGCGAAGAUCCAUCUUGUGCCUGAAGAUGUUCACCUAGUCGCAAUGAUUAUUCACCUCCCCACCAGGAUGUUUAACCCCCAUGUUAUGGCUACUCACCACGUCAAUGAGAUGUGUCUCCUUGGCGUCAUGGGGAUUCUCCAUGCCAUAGGAUGAUUGACCCGUCCUAAGCAGGGAUGAUUGACCGUUGUGAUGCUCAGGAUCAUUUGGCCCAGAAUCGGGGACAGGCGGAGCGUGGUUACUAUGAAGGGGAUAUUCUGAGUGCUUCUAAUAUUUCAGGUCCCUUUUGUUUUAGUCUGAAUGGCAUCUGAUGGUGAUAAAUACAACGAAAAUUCCAAACCUGAAACUUGGCUUGAUUAUUAUCUCAUUCGGAUUGGUUGCAGUGAUGAUGGUGUUGCUAUGAAUCACCUUCCACUGGUGCUGGAGGGGUCAGCUCGAGCUUGGCUCAAGCACUUGCCGCCCAAUGGUAUUUUCAGUUGGGGAGAUUCUCAGAGGGUUUUUUGUCAAAAAAUAUGAAGGCCCUUACAAGCGUCCUGAUGGAAUGACGGAGCUGUAGUUGUGCGUCCAGAAGCCCAAUGAAACCACUCGGGAGUAUAUCCAGAGAUGGGCUACAAUUCAUAAUUUAGCAAGGCAUCAUAUAUUGCAACCUGUGCCUGAAACUUGGCCACUUGGAAGUUGGCACCUUGGGCCGACUGAUGGAAAUAGCAAACGGCCAUGCAAAUGGUGGGGAAGAGGAGCGAAUCCUUAGAGGCAAGGGACAUGCAGAGCCGUCUCAUCAGAAGAAUAACAAUCAGUCAGGGCCAAGCAUGAACAACAAUAAUAAUAGUAACACCAAGCGCAAGUCAGAUGGGAAGAUGGUGUCAGCGGCACCGAGUUGGUGGCAAUUGCCAAUCAAAACAAAGGAAAAGGAAACCAGAAGAAAGAGUGGAUACCUCGUAAAAAGGAAGCCACAGAAGGUGAUAUUCUGGACAAACCGUGUAUCAUCCACAUCACCAAGGACGAUGAUGGAAAUCUUGUAUACCUGAACCACACCACUCGGCAGUGCAUGGCUCUAAAGACGACGAUGUCAGGCAAGUUGGCCGUCAACGCCUUCUGAAGGCAAGAGCAAAGACGAAGAGGAGGAUGACCAAGACAACUGGUAUUUGAGAGAGCAAAGCGUACUCUUGAUCUUUGCAGAUCCUGAGUCAAAACGUGUGCAUAAGCUUUGUAGUCGUGGAUGUGAAUGUCGUCGUAAUCUCAACUCCUAAAUACUUGGAUUGGUCGGAAAUAUCCAUUACUUUUGAUUAGUUGGAUCAGCUAGUGCAUGUUCUAAGAGCUAAUCGUAGAUCCACUUGUGAAUGGUUACCGACUGCGGUAUGGACUGAUGGAUGGCGACAAUGGGAUAAACUUAAUCUACGCCAGCACGCUGAAGCACAUGGGCAUUCCCUUAUCCAAGUUGAGUGUGAUCCACAUGCAGUUCCAUGAAGUGAUCCCAUGAAAGAAGCCCUGAGUCUUUGGGGCUAUACCUUGGAGGUAGUGCUUCGUGACAAGAUUUUUUUAGAAAGAGAACCUCAUUUUCGAGGUGGUGGAUUUCUAGAGUGCAUAGCAUGCAGUUAUUGGGCGAUCAGCCUACACCAAGUUUAGGGCUUGACCGUGUUAUGUGUAUCUGAAACUUAAGAUUCUUGGCCCAAAAGGCGUGAUUACUAUCUUUGGCAAUGUCAAGGGAGUAGAGAAUUGCCUGCAGAGGGGCUUGGAUAUCGUUGAUGCUCAAAUGGUGGCAUUCGAGCUAGAAGAAUACAAGAAGACCGCAGAGCAGGCUGAUCCAUCUUCGAGAUGGUGGAUUUCCAGAGUGCAUAUCAUGCAAUUCUUGGGUGAUCCGACUGAAACAUUAAUACUUACCAGCAAGCUUCUAAGUGGAUUGGUUUAGGUGAUCCACUAAGUACCUCUCAUUGUCUUCCAUAACAUGGGUGAUUCUUUCUAUGUCUUGUUCAUGAUGGGCCUUCUCCUUGUGUUGAAGAUCUUUCAGGCUAAGGAAGUUCAUCUAAAGUUGCCGAUUUUCAGGGUUAAGCUUGUCGUUCUUUUUCUUAAGGUUUUCAACUUCCUCUCGGUACAACUUGUUCAGUUUAGCAAUUUCUUCAAACUCAUUCAGCUGAUGUUCAACCUUCUUGAUUUUCAGUCGAGUCUCCUUCUUGUUCGCUAGCUCGGCAUCCCUCUCCUUCAGAGCCUUGGCCAGCUUGACAUCUUUUGCCUCCAGUCUCUUUCAGAUGGUUUUUGCACAUACUCAAUUCUCUAGUUGGUUGGUCAAUAGUCUAUUUUCAGCAGGUGUAUCUGUCAGAAUCAGUUAGGACAGGGAUGAGAAAUAAGGUUAACUAAAGAUAGUUUGAUUUAUGGAACUUACCACCAUUGUAGUCUCCAGUUAAGAUGCAAUUGAUCCCUUUUCUGCAAGUCAUUGUACAAGCUCAUAGGUUUUCUGUUCAAACAGAAGAUGAAAAUUAAACCCGGAGAGUAGUUCAUUCGAGACUCCAACACUAACUGAUUACAUGUAAUCACUCGGAGUCUCGGGGGCUACACCCAGUGGGUGCACUGCUCGUGCCCCCACUGGAAGAAAAGUCCUAAGGAAAGAAUUCAACUUUAUUUUAGUUGAUUUUUUUGGAAUCCGUCUGGUUGUCAUGGGCUUGAAGCUUAGAGAGCCAAGUCUAUGAAGUUCAAAAAGCAAUUAAUUCUAAUUCAGUCGGUUCAUCCGAAUUGGCUGAUUGCUAUGGUCUUGGUGCAUAGAUAGCUAAGUCCAUAAAGUACUAAUAUUCUGUACUACUCUAGAGACUUUGACCAACUGCCAGCAGUUAAUCGUAGCCUCAAGGGCUACACCCAGUGUGUGCACUAAUUGUGCCCUCAACUAGAAGAAAAGCACAAACUAAAUUCGGUCGGACGACGGACAUCUAACAGAUAGCCAUGGGCUUGGAGCUCAGAGUGCCAAGUCCAUGAAGUUCAAAGAAUUUGUACUCUAGUUUAGUCGGAAUUUGGCUGAUGGCCAUGGGCUUGGAGCUGAGAGAGCUAAGUCCAUGAGUUUCAAAAAAUAAAUCCUACUUCUACUCUUCCGACUCCGAUCAACUACCAACAAUUAAUCGGAUCCUGAGGGGCUACGUCCACUAGGGCUAGAAAUUCACAAAGUAAUUCAGCCGGAUAUCUGGCAUCCGAGUGAUUACCAAUGGGCUUGGACUAAGAGACCCAAUUCCGUGAAAGUUGUGCCAACAAACCUGCAACGGCACAUAAUUUAUCCGAGACUGUCAACACUAGUUUUCCAUAUGUGUAAAUUAUUCCUUUUAUAUACUAACAGAAAGGAGAUGGAAUAGACUCUACAAAGUUCCCCCAAAAUGUCGUAAUCAGAAAGCAGGUCAAAAUAGGGAGAUCAUGUUACGACCUCCUUUUCCUCAAUGGUGUUGGGAGAAUGAUAUUCCUGAGCAUUGGCCACAGAUGGAUGUUGUAGCAGUUGUAAGCAGUCCUUGGAAAGUAGGUGACUUGAUUGACUGGUGGUACAAAGAUUGUUUCUGGACUGGCAAAAUUAUCGAGUUGCUGGGUGAAGACAAAGUUAAGAUAAUUUGUCCUGAGAAACCAAUAGGUGAAGGUGGAUGUUGGGCUGCCGAUACAAAGGACCUUAGGCCAGCGCUUGAUUGGCCCCUCUUAAAAGGUUGGACCGCCCCUCUUUCACAGGUAACUGGACUCUCAUUCACUACUUGAUGAAAAAUUCCUAUUUGAUCUCAUCCUUAAUAGUGCUAUAACCAGUUUUUCGAAUACCAACGUGCUCAUUUAACAAGGUUUGUAAAAUCAUGUGCAAUUAACAAGAUUCAACUACAUUUGUUAAAGGUCAUAUGCAACUAACAUGUUCUACAUCAUAGUUUCAAAUACGCAGUGAGCUAAAUGAGUUGUUGAUUGAUAAUUAGUUAGCAUACCCUUUUUGUUUCCCUAAAGAAGGCUAAUACCAUUUUCCCUAGUGGGAGUAUUUUUAUGGUUAAACAUGUUGUACUGUUCUCAAUCUUCCAUUUUGUUCAAGAUGGUUUAAUACCCUAUUGUGUUUCAUUUGAUGCGAAAUUUACAAUUAGUAACUAUAAUUGGUUGUCAGGCUUUCUAAUUGGUAAUUCCUCACGAGGAUUCUUGUUUGUUGAAGUUGAAUCCAUGGAGGAUACUUGGUGUUUUUUGUAUUUAUUUCUUCGCAAGUCACAAAAUGCAAAAUUAUGCUAGUUGGGAUAUUUUCGUUCGAUUAAUGCUAAUGGAUUCUAGUGUGACCCUGCUUUGGGAGAAGAGUGAUCAGGCUUUCUGCCCCUUCUUACUGUUGUGUCUUAACAUUCCAUUGACAUGCUUGAUCAUUUUGAUCCAAAUAGGGAUCUACAAGUCCAAGUCGUGUAAGAUGAUUCUCUACUAUGAAACUGUAGAGAAGAGCACUACUAGAAGUUAUUAUAAGCAAGAGCAACCUUUUACUCCUUA